This 460-nucleotide ribosomal RNA is filed under the name uncultured bacterium. Its description in RNAcentral is "partial 16S ribosomal RNA". It matches the Rfam family "Bacterial small subunit ribosomal RNA", at positions 338 to 795 of the family's 1533-position model. The record is from RNAcentral.
CCUACGGGAGGCUGCAGUGAGGAAUAUUGGUCAAUGGACGAGAGUCUGAACCAGCCAAGUAGCGUGAAGGAUGACUGCCCUAUGGGUUGUAAACUUCUUUUAUAUGGGAAUAAAAUGUUCCACGUGUGGGAUUUUGUAUGUACCAUAUGAAUAAGGAUCGGCUAACUCCGUGCCAGCCGCCGCGGUAAUACGGAGGAUCCGAGCGUUAUCCGGAUUUAUUGGGUUUAAAGGGAGCGUAGGUGGAUUGUUAAGUUAGUUGUGAAAGUUUGCGGCUCAAACGUAAAAUUGCAGUUGAAACUGGCAGUAUGGAGUACAGUAGAAGUGGGCGGAAUGCGUGGUGUAGCGGUGAAAUGCUUAGAUAUCACGAAGAACUCCGAUUGCGAAGGCAGUUCACUGGACUGCAACUGACACUGAGGCUCGAAAGUGUGGGUAUCAAACAGGAUUAGAUACCCUAGUAGUC